This 1062-nucleotide ribosomal RNA is filed under the name Providencia rettgeri. RNAcentral's name for it is "partial 23S ribosomal RNA". It matches the Rfam family "Bacterial large subunit ribosomal RNA", at positions 141 to 1064 of the family's 2925-position model. The record is from RNAcentral. Lineage: Bacteria; Pseudomonadati; Pseudomonadota; Gammaproteobacteria; Enterobacterales; Morganellaceae.
CGUUGCACUAUCGUUUGAUGAAUACAUAGUCAAACGAAGCGAACCGGGGGAACUGAAACAUCUCAGUACCCCGAGGAAAAGAAAUCAACCGAGAUUCCCCUAGUAGCGGCGAGCGAACGGGGAGCAGCCCAGAGUCUUAAUCAGCAUUAGCAUCAGGAGAACGGUCUGGAAAGUCCGGCAGUAAAGGGUGAUAGCCCCGUAUCCGAAGGUGUUAGUGUUGUGAACUCGACGAGUAGGGCGGGACACGUGUUAUCCUGUCUGAAUAUGGGGGGACCAUCCUCCAAGGCUAAAUACUCCUGAUUGACCGAUAGUGAACCAGUACCGUGAGGGAAAGGCGAAAAGAACCCCGGCGAGGGGAGUGAAAUAGAACCUGAAACCGUGUACGUACAAGCAGUGGGAGCCCCAUCACUCAAGUGCCUCGGCAAUUGAGUGAUGGUGUAAAACCAUCACAAUAACAGCGCAGGAUUUGCCAACAAGAUUGGCUGAUUUUUUCAAGCCGCAGCGCAGUGGACAUCGAAGUCCAUGAGCAGCGGAAGUUAAAAAAUCGGGCAAGAUUGGCCGCAAAGCCAAGCGGGACAUUUGAGGAUGGGGUGACUGCGUACCUUUUGUAUAAUGGGUCAGCGACUUAUAUUCUGUAGCAAGGUUAACCGUAUAGGGGAGCCGUAGGGAAACCGAGUCUUAACUGGGCGAAUAAGUUGCAGGGUAUAGACCCGAAACCCGGUGAUCUAGCCAUGGGCAGGUUGAAGGUUGGGUAACACUAACUGGAGGACCGAACCGACUAAUGUUGAAAAAUUAGCGGAUGACUUGUGGCUGGGGGUGAAAGGCCAAUCAAACCGGGAGAUAGCUGGUUCUCCCCGAAAGCUAUUUAGGUAGCGCCUUGUGAACUCAUCUUCGGGGGUAGAGCACUGUUUCGACUAGGGGGUCAUCCCGACUUACCAACUCGAUGCAAACUACGAAUACCGAAGAAUGUUAUCACGGGAGACACACGGCGGGUGCUAACGUUCGUCGUGAAGAGGGAAACAACCCAGACCGCCAGCUAAGGUCCCAAAGUCAUAGUUAAGU